AUGAAGAUUAGUGGAUGGAAAGAAAAGUUGUUAUCGGCUGGUGGAAAGGAAAUUUUGCUUAGGUCUGUUGUUCAAGCUAUCCCAACAUAUGGAAUGUCCGUCUUUAAAAUUCCUAAAAAGAUUUGCAAAGGAAUCAUAGACGCGAUGUCGCAAUUCCGGUGGGGUGACGAGGAUAAUCAGAAAAGGAUGCACUGGAUGGCGUGGUGGAAGAUGUAUGUUCCAAAAGACCACGGUGGAAUGGGUUUCCGUGAUAUACACUGUUUUAACCUGGCUUUGUUAGCGAAACAAGCAUGGCGCCUCUUGGAAAAUCCUGAAUCGUUAUGUGCAACAAUCCUAAGAGCAAAGUAUUUCCCGGAGGGCGAUUUG
This 366-nucleotide ribosomal RNA is filed under the name Triticum aestivum (bread wheat). Its description in RNAcentral is "partial small subunit ribosomal RNA". The record is from RNAcentral. Lineage: Eukaryota; Viridiplantae; Streptophyta; Magnoliopsida; Poales; Poaceae.